GAAACUAACCAGGAUUCCCCCAGUAACGGCGAGUGAACGGGGAUUAGCCCAACAUCGAAGCCUAUGCCUAUUUGGGUGUAAGGCAAUGUGAUGUUAUGGGGUGUGCCUAGGGUCACUGGUCAACUCGAAGUCCAAUAUUGAAUGUGGCUUUUGUAUAUGGCCCAGAGCGGGUGAUAGGCCCGUGCGAGUUGACUGUUAGUCAUGUUGAGUGGCCUCUAGAUGCAUACUCUGUGGAGUCGGAUUGCUUGAGAAUGCAGUCCAAAGUUGGUGGUAAACUCCAUCAAAGGCUAAAUACUGGCACGAGUCCGAUAGCAAACAAGUACCGUGAGGGAAAGUUGAAAAGUACUCUGAAGAGAGAGUAAAUAGUACGUGAAACCACAUACAGGUAAACUGGUGGAGUCCAGCUGCGUGUUUUGGGGACUUAGCUGGUAUGUGAAUUAUGGAUGUUGUAAACUGCUGCUUGUGGUUUGUCUAUAAUGACGAGUUAGAUUUACGUCUAAUUCAUGUCCAUCUUGUAGAUGGUAUGUGCCACUUGUACGCGUCUGUUUGCAUGCCAGUGUCAUUCCUCAAAGCUGACAUCACAGUCAAUACUGCUGCUAGUGUAUGAUGAUCAAACCGUUGAAUAGUGGGCCUUGAAGUUCAUUUUCAACGUGGAUGGCAGGUGGUUUGGCUAUUCGCCUUUGUGUGAAUAGUUGAGCUUAAAAAUGGCUGCGGCCAGCCGAUCAUCAUGCUGUAUUUUGCUUACAUUUAACUAUGCAGUGUAUUGGUAAUGAGUAUUGUGGCCUAAUGGUGCUGAUUUCAGGCUGGCUCACGCGGGGUUAUGUGUAAAAGCGUGCUCAACGUGUGGCUUCAGUUUGUUUCUUGGUAUCAUGCGGUUACAUCUUAACAUAAACUGUGGUGUUGUGGUA
Molecule: ribosomal RNA, 908 nt
Filed under: Decacotyle lymmae
Lineage: Eukaryota; Metazoa; Platyhelminthes; Monogenea; Monocotylidea; Monocotylidae
Description: eukaryotic LSU rRNA
Rfam family: Eukaryotic large subunit ribosomal RNA
Source: RNAcentral